This 407-nucleotide ribosomal RNA is filed under the name uncultured Actinomycetes bacterium. RNAcentral's name for it is "bacterial SSU rRNA". It matches the Rfam family "Bacterial small subunit ribosomal RNA", at positions 353 to 772 of the family's 1533-position model. Lineage: Bacteria; Bacillati; Actinomycetota; Actinomycetes. The record is from RNAcentral.
AGUGGGGAAUAUUGCACAAUGGGCGCAAGCCUGAUGCAGCGACGCCGCGUGAGGGAUGACGGCCUUCGGGUUGUAAACCUCUUUCAGUAUCGACGAAGCGUAAGUGACGGUAGGUACAGAAGAAGCACCGGCCAACUACGUGCCAGCAGCCGCGGUAAUACGUAGGGUGCGAGCGUUGUCCGGAAUUACUGGGCGUAAAGAGCUCGUAGGUGGUUUGUCGCGUUGUUCGUGAAAACUCACAGCUUAACUGUGGGCGUGCGGGCGAUACGGGCAGACUGGAGUACUGCAGGGGAGACUGGAAUUCCUGGUGUAGCGGUGGAAUGCGCAGAUAUCAGGAGGAACACCGGUGGCGAAGGCGGGUCUCUGGGCAGUAACUGACGCUGAGGAGCGAAAGCGUGGGGAGCGAA